UGUUUGCUUGGCCUAACAACUUUGCCUCUAAUGAGCCUCUCAGUAACUUUUUUCUUCACAAAUCACUCUAUCUGUCCUACACCCAGUCUUGCUGCUGUAAAGGUUUUUCUUUUCUUCCCCCCCUUUUCCCAGAAAUAAUAAUGCUCAGAGUGAAGUCUGCACCGGGAGCGUUGUUCCGUAUGAAGCACCAUGACUCAGAGCAGCUUUGGGUGUACAGGAGGAGCUGUGACCUAAUGAGGCACUGUGCAACUCAAGACCACAUGAAGUCAUACGAAGCUCCACGUUCAGCCACUUUAAAACAAGCUGUGUGCAGACAAAUGUGCUGCAGAGCUUCAGGAGUACACGACUGAUGAGCACGGAGCAUCUGUGGGAAAGGGGGGAAAAAAAACACCGUCUUCAGAUUUUGAGGAGCAAACAUGACCCUUUCUGUUCCUACUGAUUUCCACCCACAUUCGGUUAGUGUGAGAGAAGGAGGAAAAUGAAAGAAAAAGAAGAGGAAAAAAGCAGAUUUUCUUUGCAUGGAAGGACUGAAGAAUGUAUUGUUUUCUCAAUCACAAGCGAGUGCUUUCAUCACCAUUUUUGCUCGACAUUCUAAGUGACAGAGAGUUUUCUAUAUUUUACUUGUAUGACUUAGGAGAGGUCACGUUUGUCAAAGUCCCUCUGCAGAAGUGAGCCUUCUCUUUGGAUGUAUGCAAAUUCUACAGCACAUAUGCAGUUUGUAAUUUGCCGAUAGGUAUAAGCAUAUGCAAAAUGGAGAUUCAGUGUGUAUGUGCAAGCUUGCAAAAUUAAUCAACCGAGAAUAUACAGAACUACAAAUGCUUUGUUGAAAAGAUUUAUGAAUUAACCUCCUAUGGAAGCUUUCACUCAGGGAUGCUAAAUACACUUCAUUUUUAUUAAUAAUUAAUAUGAUUUACAUGAUAAUAUUUUUCACCCAUAAUAGCAUUUUAAAAAUACAUCCCAGUCGUGAAAGGACCCGUCAGUACUUCUGCCUGUUCACAAGUGCUUUAGUGGUGCUUUUUAUGAGUAUAAAUGAUGCCAGUCUGGAGCCCCUCCAGGAUUAGAUCUUAAUCCCUAAAGAUACGUAAGUGCUACCACCUCUGCUUUAUAGACUGAAAACUGGGAGUUGAAUGGGCAAAUUCGUGCAAGUUUACACACAGUACAUAAGGGAGUAAAGAAGGCAAGUCUAGAACACCAAACUUGUGAAGAGUAUUGUAAGAACAGUUACUCUCUCUUCUUAGAGACACUUUCGUAUCAGCAGCUGAUCUGAACAUUAUCAACAGAAAAACUGAAGCCCUUGGCCUCACUGCAAGUCCUGUAUUUCAGUGCCCAACCAGGUGAGCCUACACUUGAUUCCUCCUGUUUUCAGAAAUGGAAGCCAAGGGUGUUCAAAUGAUUCUCAUCAUACAAGAGGCAAAAAAAAA
Non-coding RNA from Coturnix japonica (Japanese quail), 1421 nucleotides. NCBI's taxonomy places the organism in Eukaryota, Metazoa, Chordata, Aves, Galliformes, Phasianidae. The record is from RefSeq and is a predicted model, not a curated record.